Molecule: unclassified non-coding RNA, 228 nt
Filed under: plant metagenome
Description: partial contains small subunit ribosomal RNA, internal transcribed spacer 1, and 5.8S ribosomal RNA
Source: RNAcentral
UCUCCGUUGGUGAACCAGCGGAGGAAUCAUUACCGAGUUUACAACUCCCAAACCCACUGUGAACCUUACCUAUCGUUGCUUCGGCGGGAUCGCCCUGGCGCCUCGCGGCACCAGAUCUCAGGCGCCCGCCGGGGGCCCGAAACUCUUGUUUUUAUUAUCAGUGGUUUCUCUCCGCGUGGCACAAGCAAAAAUAAAUCAAAACUUUCAACAACGGAUCUCUUGGUUCUG